Syngnathus acus (greater pipefish) is the source of this 741-nucleotide long non-coding RNA. RefSeq lists it as uncharacterized. The transcript has 3 exons. NCBI's taxonomy places the organism in Eukaryota, Metazoa, Chordata, Actinopteri, Syngnathiformes, Syngnathidae. The record is from RefSeq and is a predicted model, not a curated record.
UGUCGCGGGGACCUGCGAGCCACAGAAAUGAAACGCGUACGAAUGGGAGCGCGCACAUGAGUGAGCGCUCACGAUCGGGUGCGAGCACGUUCUCCUCCGUCCCUUCCCUGUCCACGCGCACACAGGUGUCCGUUUGCAAGAUAAUCGGUGACACAGACACUUCUUCAUUCAAAUUUCCGCACACCGAGGACUAAGGCGACACUAAAAUCAGUGACGCUGCCUGACGCUGCCAGUGACGCUGCAAAAGGCAAAAACAAUCUACGAACUACUGCUUUGGCGCAUCGACGAAGUCACGUCCAUUGAAGAGGAUGAGACCACAUGUAACCACGCUGGCCGUUCCCCAGAACAGGACAUAAGCUAGAGUCUCCGUCCAUGUGUCACCUACGGAGGAAUGCCAGAUUUAUGAUUCUUUUAGACAGCAAGAGACAAAGCAGCUGAGCUGAAUGUUUGAUUGCCGCCUGCCAAUUUGUGGACCCUGGUUAAAGACCAUCGCCCACCAACAUCCUGGACACUUGGCUGUGGUAUCGUUGAUCAAGACACAGACACUCCAAUCUGCUCUGCGGGUACUUAAGUAGCUCCCUGCUUCAGUGUGUGCCACUAACUGUGUUUACUCCAAAUGAAGAGAUCAUUUAUGUACUUGGGUGUGUACAUGACAAACAGAUGAUUAUUCUUCCUCAAAUACAGCACUUCAUGACACAUCGGAAAAUCGCUCCAAUGGGGAUUCAUCAUCUGACCUGAACA